GAGUGGCUCAGUGGUGGAGCGUCUCCUUGCCAAGGAGAAGGUCGCGGGUUCGAUCCCCGUCUC
Molecule: transfer RNA, 63 nt
Filed under: Eshraghiella crossota
Lineage: Bacteria; Bacillati; Bacillota; Clostridia; Lachnospirales; Lachnospiraceae
Description: tRNA-Gly
Rfam family: tRNA
About the family: Transfer RNA (tRNA) molecules are approximately 80 nucleotides in length. Their secondary structure includes four short double-helical elements and three loops (D, anti-codon, and T loops).
Source: RNAcentral